CCUUUAGUAUCAGGGGGACUUAACCUAUAUUUGGUAUUAUACCUUGAAAAGGAUAGAGCUAUUUGUAUCUCAUAUCUAGGUUUCAGUCUAUUUAGUUAUAUACUUCUAGAAAAGAUAUUUUAACAUUAUCCUUAUAUCCAGCUAGCUUUUAAAUAAUUAAAUUACACUUUUUAAAAAAUGAUCUUCUAUUGAAUAAAUUUUAGGAAACCUAAAACCUUUAAAAGAAUUAAUAUUAUUAUUUAAACAGGCGUUUCAUAUUCUAACCUCCAACCAAUAUAAAUUCUUAUUACCUAAGCUUUUCUAAUUAAUUUAAAAUUUAAUAAUAGGUCUAUUAGUAAAAAUUUUUUAUUAUUGAAUUUAAAUGUUAUUUUAAAUCUAAGUCCAACUAGCAAAAACUAGACUAUUUGUUUCUUCGCCUGUUUAACAAAAACAACUCUUUUAUUUACCAUUCAAGGUAGGACCUGCUCACUGAUGAUUAAAAGCCGCAGUAUCAUGACUGUGCUAAGGUAGCAUAAUAAUUAGUUGUUUAAUUGACCACUGGAAUGAAGGGUCUGACGAAAGAAUAAUUUUCUUCUUGUUUUUUGAAAUUAAUAAGUAAAUAAAAAAGUUUAUCUACCUUAGAUAGACGAUAAGACCCUAAAACCUUUUAAGAGUGUUACUCUUUUUGCUGGGGAGGCAAAUUAUAUCUCAUAAUUUAAUAUAACAAAAUGAAUGGGUAUACUCAACUUAAAUUAAACCCAAAAAGGUACUUUAGGGAUAACAGCAUAAUUUUUAUAUAGAGUUACUUAUCGACAUAAAAGAUUAUGACCUCGAUGUUGAAUUGAUAUUACUUUUCUAAGCAGCCCUAGAAAUUCGUAGGUCUGUUCGACCUUUAAUUUAUCACAUGAUUUGAGUUCAAACCGGCGUGAGCCAGGUUGGAUUCUAUCUUCUAGUAAACUUGUAUUUAUCUAGUACGUAAGGACUUUUAAAUAAUAA
Molecule: ribosomal RNA, 975 nt
Filed under: Trachelipus rathkii
Lineage: Eukaryota; Metazoa; Arthropoda; Malacostraca; Isopoda; Trachelipodidae
Description: 16S ribosomal RNA
Rfam family: Archaeal large subunit ribosomal RNA (bases 619-931)
Source: RNAcentral